AAUUAGGACAAAUGUCGGACGCCAUCUUGAAACUUUCAAACGGAAGCGGAACAAACAAUGAUAUUACUGCAACACUCCUUCCUAUUUGUCUUGAAAAUAUGUCAGCAAACAAAGAAGCAUUUACCCAACCUCUAUCACCUAAUGAAAAAAUACCAACCACAACUGCGGCGUUCACCCAAGCUCAAACACCUGUCAAAUACAACCUUCCUGUUUCUGUCAAUUCGCGUCAACAGUUUAAUAUCCAAAAGGGAAGGAAUGAAUAUCAGGUCAUUACUAGCUGCAUCAAAAUAGGCAAUUCAUUGGUGUUUACCGACUAUAAUAAUGACCAACUUAUUAUUUG
Mytilus californianus (California mussel) is the source of this 340-nucleotide long non-coding RNA. RefSeq lists it as uncharacterized. The record is from RefSeq and is a predicted model, not a curated record. NCBI's taxonomy places the organism in Eukaryota, Metazoa, Mollusca, Bivalvia, Mytilida, Mytilidae. The transcript is spliced from 3 exons.